Long non-coding RNA from Eurytemora carolleeae, 1369 nucleotides. RefSeq lists it as uncharacterized. The transcript is spliced from 2 exons. NCBI's taxonomy places the organism in Eukaryota, Metazoa, Arthropoda, Copepoda, Calanoida, Temoridae. The record is from RefSeq and is a predicted model, not a curated record.
GAGAAAAAAAUGAGAUUUUCAAACAUAGAUGUAUUUUUUUACAGUUAAAAUCUAACAACACCUUAUACCGACUAUCUUUAAUGCAAUAGAAACUUUAGACGACUAUCCAUUGAUUUUAUCCAAGAGAAAAUAGAAAUUAAAUGGUUUUGAAAAAUAAAUUAUUUUUUUUUCCAAUGAAAGUUAACAACUUGUCCCCCCCACCCACCCACCGUCCAGCAAGCUUGUGUCCAAAAAUGAAUUAAUGUUAUUGGUUGAAAGAUUAUUAUUGAUGACGCAUAAAUACAUUUUUCAAUUUUAAACAUCUCCUAACUUGAUUCUGUGCUGUCUAUGAAAUCUCACUUGCUUCGAGCAUUGUUUUAAGUUAUAAAUUUGUUAUUAUCUCAUCACCUUUUGUUUCUCUAAUUUCCAGAGGGAUAUAUAUUUUAAAGAUAUUUCCUAGAUAAAUAUAUACUCUCGCUUUAUUCAUAAAAUUCACACAGUUCCAUCCUCGCGUUUUCAUUUGUGCCAACAACCUGUCAAUCUCAUUAGACUCUGGUGGUGAUAAACUACUUUGUUUACAAAUAGUAUUCUUAUCUUUGAUUGGCUGCAGUUCAUUACAUAUUACCCCUUAUUGGGGGCGUUUUUCUGUACUCAUCGACCUUUUUUCUUAUGAAUAAUUAAGAAAAAUAACGACCCAUGUUUUUAGUGAGAAAAGUAUCACAAAAUCCCACCCACCUGUUGACAAAUGUAAUUAUAAUUUCUACGAGGUCCAGUUUUUGUAAUAUGUUAAAUUAUAUAAAAGAUAAUUAAUUUAAGUUGUGUUUAAUAUUUUGUUCAUUCAGCACGUACCUAUUGUAAGAUGUUAAAGGGGCUGUAAGCGCAGUUUCAUGUGACCCUCCAUGCUAAGAUGACAAUUCCGUUUUUCAGAGUACCCUUGAAACCUUUGUUUGAUCAAGUAUGAAUUAGGUACGAGAGCUUUUGUUUCUUUGUAAAUGUUUAUUUUCAUUUCCGGUUUCUCUGUAUUUCUGCUGUUCUUGCGUAUAAGAAACAAUAGCGAAGAUCACAGAAUUAAACAAUUUGACGUUAUCUUCACAUUUUAUAUCCAGUUAGGGUUUCAAGGGAAUAAAUAGGGCAUGGACAUCUUUGAUUGGUUGGUCACGUGAAAUUGCGCUAAUUCAGACCCUUUAAGAAGAUAGUUCUGAUGUAGUGACGCAUCAAAUAAAAAAUUCACUUUACAGGGUGUCCGAAGAAACCGGGACCCUGUGGCAUAUACUUAUAUUUGUACAGGGUGGCUCAGAAUAUACUGGGUACACCCUGUCCUGUCCAUUGACCAAUCUAGAUUGUAUUAGAAAAAAGAUCUACAGGGUUAAUAUAUAUUCUUUAAACAUGA